AUAGUAAUAAAAUUCUGCAGAUUGGUCUAUCUUCCAAUUUGGUCUUUCUAGAUACUUGCAAGAUAUGUCGUGCGCGCACGUGUACAGAUGUGUGUGGUUAUUAUUCGAGCUGGUAAUGAUAUCACGUACUUUUUGUGAAUUAAUAGGUUAAUAGGUACAUCCGAGUUUUGUCUGUGACUGCGUGUCGCGAGAAAUCAUCGCGACGAACAACGUUGCCGUGAAGCAGGAGUUCAUUGCGUUUGCUCAUCACCGUUAUCAAAGUUAUUAACCUAAUUGCAACUGAAAGAGUGUGUUGGAAUGUCUUCGGACAAUGAAAAAAUAAGAGGAAUAGCGAGUGGAUGUGGUAUCCAUGUGUUACGAGAACACGUGGGUGGUGAUUGCAUCAAGGACGUACCGGCAGUAGGUUUGCACCGACAUUGAUAGGUUCAAAAAAAGAAGAUGAAAGGUUGCCAAAACGCCGAUUGACGAAGGCUGGUAUUAUAAGCAAUUAAUUUGAUAAUAGGCUCGAACUGUUUUCUAUAUACAUAUAGAACAGGACUUGUAAGUCCAUUAUCUAAGUUAGUAGUAUUAUUAUAAUAACAUUUAACAAAUGUUAAAAAGUCAGUCCACUUAAUUAAAAUUAAUAACAUGUUUUUAAGACAAUGUUUUACUAGAAAUUUUUUCAUAACAAGAAAAGUAAUUAGAAUAUCUUAUCUUCACAUUCCUAAAAAUACUGCACUUUCUAAUCCGUUAAAGACCAACUUUUUUCGAAAAUAGAUAAAACUAACAACAAAGAGAUGAAGAUAAUAGAGAAAAUCAGAUUCUUGACACAAUCAAUUACAGCUUCGUCACAGAUUAGAAAUUAGAAAAAGGAAGAUACUUGUGAAAACUGAUUUUUAUGAAUGAAAAUCAGUGCGCGACAUGCUUUGACCUCGGAUUAUUAUCCGGAAAACACUCACUCGCGAUUUGUAGACCCAACAUCAGCAUGAAUCCAAUAAUUAUGGCAGUCAACUGUAAGAGGCCACUUUUCUCGUUAGCCCUCUCGCGUGCUAAUACCUCGAAGAAAACCACGUAUAGCAACGUUCCGGCGGCCAUUCCUUGCAGUAUUGUCGGGGUAUCCAAGAGUAGUUCUACUUGAGGCACCAGCAACGUAAAGUUCCAUACCGACGCAGAAUGAAAUUACCAACUUAUGCGUAGCUAUAGCAGCAGCCAGAUAUACGACGGAACCAAUAGAGGGUUCUAGACCUACUGCUAGACCCUCGAAAAUUGCAUGAAAAGACAAAGCUAGCACUAAGGAUAUCUCGUGCCAUCCUGAGGACUGCGCUGCGUGGAAGAUAAUCCCGUAGGGGUAGAUAGGACAAAUAUGGCAGGUGGACCUAGCCGUAGUGGAAACCGUGGUGGUGGAACCACUAUUCGUAGUUGUUGACGCACCUGUUUGAUUGUUGCAUCUACGUACGGACACCGUUCUAUAGAGUAGCGCCUCUGAUGACUCGGGUUUUCCCGUCAGUG
This is a long non-coding RNA of Bombus terrestris (buff-tailed bumblebee), 1488 nucleotides long. RefSeq lists it as uncharacterized. The record is from RefSeq and is a predicted model, not a curated record. NCBI's taxonomy places the organism in Eukaryota, Metazoa, Arthropoda, Insecta, Hymenoptera, Apidae. The transcript is spliced from 5 exons.